RNAcentral lists this ribosomal RNA (386 nucleotides) under Nostoc sp. HG1. Its description in RNAcentral is "partial 23S ribosomal RNA". It matches the Rfam family "Bacterial large subunit ribosomal RNA", at positions 2394 to 2780 of the family's 2925-position model. The record is from RNAcentral. Lineage: Bacteria; Bacillati; Cyanobacteriota; Cyanophyceae; Nostocales; Nostocaceae.
CAGGUACGAAAGUAGAGCAUAGUGUUCGGUGGUUCCGCAUGGAAGGGCCAUCGCUCAAGGAUAAAGGUACGCCGGGGAUAACAGGCUGAUCUCCCCCAAGAGCUCAUAUCGACGGGGGGGGUUUGGGCACCUCGAUGUCGGCUCGUCACAUCCUGGGGCUGGAGAAGGUCCCAAGGGUUCGGCUGUUCGCCGAUUAAAGUGGCACGUGAACUGGGUUCAGAACGUCGCAAGACAGUUCGGUCCCUAUCUGUGGUGGGCGCUAGUAAAUUGAGAGGACGUGACCUUAGUACGAGAGGACCGGGUCGCACGUACCGCUGGUGUAUCUGUUAUGCCGCCAGGUGUAAUGCAGAGUAGCUAUGUACGGCAUGGAUAAACGCUGAAAGCAU